UGGGGAAUAUUGCGCAAUGGGCGAAAGCCUGACGCAGCGACGCCGCGUGAGGGAUGAAGGUUUUCGGAUCGUAAACCUCUGUCAGAAGGGAAGAAACCGCACUGUGCUAAUCAGCAGUGCCUUGACGGUACCUUCAAAGGAAGCACCGGCUAACUCCGUGCCAGCAGCCGCGGUAAUACGGAGGGUGCAAGCGUUAAUCGGAAUUACUGGGCGUAAAGCGCACGUAGGCUGCUUUGUAAGUCAGGGGUGAAAUCCCACGGCUCAACCGUGGAACUGCCUUUGAUACUGCUUAGCUUGAAUCCGGGAGAGGGUGGCGGAAUUCCAGGUGUAGGAGUGAAAUCCGUAGAUAUCUGGAGGAACAUCAGUGGCGAAGGCGGCCACCUAGACCGGUAUUGACGCUGAGGUGCGAAAGCGUGGGGAGCAAACAGG
RNAcentral lists this ribosomal RNA (429 nucleotides) under Fusobacteriota bacterium. RNAcentral describes it as "Fusobacteria bacterium partial 16S ribosomal RNA". It matches the Rfam family "Bacterial small subunit ribosomal RNA", at positions 355 to 776 of the family's 1533-position model. Lineage: Bacteria; Fusobacteriati; Fusobacteriota. The record is from RNAcentral.